GGAACAAGGUUUCCGUAGGUGAACCUGCGGAAGGAUCAUUACUGAGUGAGGGUCCCUCGGGGCCCAACCUCCCACCCGUGUAUACCGUACCUUGUUGCUUCGGCGAGCCCGCCCCCUUUUUCUUUUAGGGGGCACAGCGCUCGCCGGAGACACCAACGUGAACACUGUCUGAAGUUUUGUCGUCUGAGUCGAUUGUAUCGCAAUCAGUUAAAACUCUCAACAAUGGAUCUCUUGGUUCCGGCAUCGAUGAAGAACGCAGCGAAAUGCGAUAAUUAAUGUGAAUUGCAGAAUUCAGUGAAUCAUCGAGUCUUUGAACGCACAUUUCACCCCCUGGUAUUCCGGGGGGUAUGCCUGUCCGAGCGUCAUUGCUGCCCUCAAGCACGGCUUGUGUGUUGGGUCGUCGUCCCCCCCCAGGGGGACGGGCCCGAAAGGCAGCGGCGGCACCGCGUCCGGUCCUCGAGUGUAUGGGGCUUUGUCACCCGC
Molecule: unclassified non-coding RNA, 483 nt
Filed under: Aspergillus ochraceus
Lineage: Eukaryota; Fungi; Ascomycota; Eurotiomycetes; Eurotiales; Aspergillaceae
Description: sequence contains 18S rRNA gene, ITS1, 5.8S rRNA gene, ITS2 and 28S rRNA gene
Rfam family: 5.8S ribosomal RNA (bases 212-365)
Source: RNAcentral